UUAGGAAUCUUGCGCAAUGGGGGAAACCCUGACGCAGCGAUGCCGCGUGCGGGAUGACGGCCUUCGGGUUGUAAACUUCUUUUAGCAGGAAAGAAAACAAUGACGGUACCUGCAGAAAAAGCACCGGCUAACUCUGUGCCAGCAGCCGCGGUAAUACAGAGGGUGCAAGCGUUAUUCGGAGUUACUGGGCGUAAAGAGCGCGUAGGCGGUUUGAUAAGUCCGUUGUGAAAUCCCUGGACUCAAUCCAGG
Molecule: ribosomal RNA, 249 nt
Filed under: uncultured Pseudomonadota bacterium
Lineage: Bacteria; Pseudomonadati; Pseudomonadota
Description: uncultured proteobacterium partial 16S ribosomal RNA
Rfam family: Bacterial small subunit ribosomal RNA
Source: RNAcentral